UCUGCGCCCGAGGCGGCCUCGCCGCGGGCCGGGGCGGGUUCCGGGCGCUUCUGCGCGGUCGGCUGCGGCCGCGGCGUCCGGGCUGCGCGGGGCUCGGCGCGGCGCGGUGUCCGGCGGCCUCUCGGUCCGGGUCUUCUCCUGAGGAGGAGCGGCGCGCAGAGACCCGGGACUGAGCGCGGACAGAAAUGGCCCCCCGGUCCGUGAGCAAAGCGCGAGGAAAGUCGUGCGGGCCCCGGACUAGCAGAAGCCUUGACAGCCUUUCUCCUGCGUAGUCCUCAACCUGGUUAACUGUCCAAGCCCUGCCUCUGGAGUCAAGUCCUGCCACCUACCUCGGGAACACUCUCUUGGUCUCUGCCAUUCAGAGGUAGUGAUUGGCAGGUCACAUCCUGUGGUCAGUCUGAAAAUGGUUGGGAACCCAAGACAGGUUGGAGUACAAUGGCAUCAUCUCUGCUUACUGCAACCUCUGCCUCCCGGGUUCAAG
Molecule: long non-coding RNA, 481 nt
Organism: Cebus imitator (Panamanian white-faced capuchin)
Lineage: Eukaryota; Metazoa; Chordata; Mammalia; Primates; Cebidae
Exons: 3
Source: RefSeq, a predicted model, not a curated record